UACGAAGGGGGCUAGCGUUGCUCGGAAUCACUGGGCGUAAAGCGCACGUAGGCGGCUUUUUAAGUCAGGGGUGAAAUCCUGGAGCUCAACUCCAGAACUGCCUUUGAUACUGGGAAGCUUGAGUCCGGGAGAGGUGAGUGGAACUCCGAGUGUAGAGGUGAAAUUCGCAGAUAUCAGGAGGAACACCAAUGGCGAAGGCAGCUCGCUGGAACGGUACUGACGCUGAGGCGCGAAAGCGUGGGGAGCAAACAGG
This 253-nucleotide ribosomal RNA is filed under the name uncultured bacterium. Its description in RNAcentral is "partial 16S ribosomal RNA". It matches the Rfam family "Bacterial small subunit ribosomal RNA", at positions 524 to 776 of the family's 1533-position model. The record is from RNAcentral.